This is a long non-coding RNA of Manis javanica (Malayan pangolin), 8555 nucleotides long. RefSeq lists it as uncharacterized. Lineage: Eukaryota; Metazoa; Chordata; Mammalia; Pholidota; Manidae. The record is from RefSeq and is a predicted model, not a curated record.
CCGCCGCGCCGUGGGGGAGGGGCGGGGCGGGCCGCGAGAGACCCGGGAAACAUGGCUGCUCGUCCUAUUUCGGCGUCGCGGCGUGGCCACCAACCCCCGGAUCAGAGUUGGGAGAGGCUCCGAAGAGGCUCCCGCGCCGGCGGAAUUCAAUCAAUAAACCCCGAACCCACGGCCGCGCGUUUUAGGACUUUGAAGGCUCAACCAGCUCCGCUCGGUUCUCGAGCCCCCAGCACCCGCGGCGCACACUAACCUGAUCACCGUGGAGGCGGGAUCUACGGCCCGGCGGAUGAACGGCAGCAGCUUGAACCAAUCGUUGCCGAGGGCCUCCGGGCAACAGCCAAUGGUGGCAGCGGCGGGGGGGGCGAGGGACCAAUGGGAAGGCUGCGCAGCCGGCCAGGGAGGCUCAGCCAUUUGGUUGUGGUGCCUGAGACGGACCCCUUUAGAUUUCGGGGCGGCAGAGGAGCGCGGCGGCUGCUCGGUGGCUGAGCGAGGGGGGUGGGCAGAAUGGCGGGGGAAGGGAAGGUGACUGUGCCUCGAGGGCCGAGCCACCCGGCCUCGCCAGCCCGCCGCUGCCUCAGCGUUUGUCCGGGGGCGGGGCUGCAGGUGCGUUUUACCAGGGGGAGGGGCGCAGCGGGAGGGGUCGGGGUCCGGUCCUCGCCGGGCCGAGGGCUUCGCGGGGCCGCCCCGGGCCUCCCAGCGCCGUGCGGUGGGGUCAUAGGAAGAGGUGGGCGGUGCGCGGUUUGGUGUCCGCGGUGUGCUGGGUGAGCGGGCGGAUGAAAGGCUUGGAAAGGGGGAGGGUCAAGGGUGCAGUGGGGGGGAGGAGAGGGUCAUUUUCUGGGUCGGGGGCAGAGUUGGUAGAGCGUGUUUGCUACCCCCCCACCUCCUCCGCGGCCCCCCCCUCUCCCCCACCGGGGCUGCGGCUCACAACCCGCGCGCCCUUUUGCCUCAAGCCUUGUUCUAGUACUGCCGCGGCCAUCGCCGCCGCUCCAAUAAAUAAGUACAUGAAAGCAAGAUGCGCCCACCUUUGGGAUGACUUACCUCGUGGUCUUGACCCUCUUCACGGAGGUACAUUUCAGUUUGCUGUCAUAUGAGAUCUGCUCAGCAGGAGCGAUCACCAAGAGCCACCCACGAUCUUGUUUACUCAAUAAAUGAAGAUUAUGGAUUAAGAAUUAUUGUUGAUACAUUGAAUGUUUAACAGUGAAAAAGGAAAGUUUUAGUAACUCCUGGUUUUCUGGACCAAACGAUUUAUGGACUUUAUAAAUCUAGUGAAAGAAAACGGCGCACAGUUUAUUUUAAUCGUCCAUCUGAGUCAUUUGCUUCAAUCCGGGUUGCCAAAGAGGCUCUAUUUGGAGCACUUUCUCCAGGUUUUACGGUUUGCUGCCUUUGGGACUUUUUUUCAAAUCACAUUAGUUGUAAGAGACUUUAACGCCUUCAUCCCCACUGGGUUACCACCUUAUUGUGGCCAGGCCUAGGACCUCUUCGUGUACUAAACGGUUGCUUAUGACUGUUAAUAAAUCAUGGGGAUUGUUGUCAACAAGACAAAUAUAUCUUUACCCUUCCACAUAACUAUAUUUCACUGCUUUUGUUUCUACACGUCUGUACUCUUGCCCAUACACUCCAAGGUAAUUUUUUCUUUUUGGGUACAUUGUGUUUAUUUUUCAUGGACAUAGGUUCAAGGGAGAGAUAAAACAGUAUAUGUACUGCAAAUUUGAAAUACUGUUAUAUAACACCAAUACAGUUUCAUUCUUGAGCAUAUAAAGUUUAGGAGGAAAUAUAGAGUGACAGUGUAAAUAAAAGGCACAUACAGAAACUAUAUACUGGGGAAGAAAAUGUAGUAACUUUAAUAUUGUAACCAGAUAGAUUGCAAAUGUAAAAUCCUGCAGCUAAGCAUUUUACUCAGUGAAUUCUUUCAGAUAAAAUAGUAAGUGGAAUUUGAAAAGUGAUAAUGCUUACUCCGAGUAGCUGGGAAAUGCAAAUGGAAGUGGUAAGUCAUUGUUUUAUUUCAUCUAGGUAUAAACAGUAUAGAAUAUUGUAUUUGCUUGUUGACUUAGUUGACACAUUUGUCUUCCUCAGUUUUGUUAAUCUUACGGAAGUCUUUAUAGUUGGAAUUUAUUCUUUUUAAAAGUGUACCGGUUGCAUUUAUAAAACAUACAGGGACCUCAAGUUACUUCUCUUUGGCAGUCAGUUCUUAUUUCUGGUUAGAGGGUUUAAGGUUGUUUCAAAACAGAGCUGUUCAUCACAGUCAUAUGAUGUGUAGAAUCUAUGUAACAUAGGAGUCCUGAAGUUCUGUCCUCUUUUGAUGGUAAAUGUUCAUCGUCAGUUUAAAUUUUACACCAGUUAAGUCCACACUGCUAGCAAUGUGAUUUGGGACAGUGCGUUUCCAGAGGAGUAAUCCUUUAAAAGCCAGCCAAUGAAAUGCAGAGAUGUUCCCCAUCCAGCUCUGCUAAACAGAAGCAAAUAACCUAACUCACUUUAUCUUACAAAGACUGAAAAGGAUGACUUGGAAGCCCAAACACCCCUUAAGUAGAGUACAGGAACAAAUUAAAAUUAGAAUUGAAAAAAAUUAUGGCUUGAUCACUAAGUCAAAAUACUAAAUUUAACAGUUAUUUAUAAAAGCAUUUACCUCUACAUAUUUUGAUAACAGCUUUUAUAUUGUUGUUAGAAAAUUGAAAUAAGGCUUCACUGGAUGUCGACAUUUACAGAAGUGGAAAUAUCCAGAAAGUGUAUAUAACCAAUUGAAUUAAUUUCCCAUCUUUACAACAUACUUUGAGAGAAGAGAUUUCCCCUUUUACAAAUAGAUUUGUUUAUAGUUUACUUCUCAGAAAAUUUUAAUGAUUUUCAUUAUCAAAAGGAAUUAGGAAUAUAACUCAGCUAAACUGAGCCAUUUGCUCCAUGCUACUUGACCAAACAUUAAAAAAUGAAAAAGCUUCAUAUUACUUUACAGAGUGGCUUUUUAAAUUACAUUUCAUUGCAUAUUAUAGUAGUAAAUAAAUGCUCUGAAUGGCUCUGAAUAGCAGAGGAUAUACAGUAAGAAAAGCCCUAUACCAAAGAAUCUUGGCUAAAUUUUUAUAAGGAUUGAGAACAGGGUGAGUUCCUAAUUGCAGAGUGAUUCUACAAUGGAAGUUAGGUUAUGAAAGACCGAGAGUCUGUAACCUCUGGAAAUGGAUUUGAUUCACACUGAGAAGAAUAAAUGAGAUACGUUGAAAGCUUUGAGCCCCUACGGAGAAAGAUGGUCUUCAGGUAAGGAAAGACCUUUCUGCCUUCUAGAAUAUUUUUCUUCAGGAACUAUUCCAAGCAAAUGAGCAGCCUAUCUUGUUCUCUAAAACGUAUGAGCAAUGGGUAUCUUAGCCUCUUGAUACAUGCUGGAAAGUACUGUUAUAUAAAUAACCCACAUUGAUUCUGCUGCCAUUUUAGUUCCUUUGAUCUUGUUUGGUCUCAAAGAUGGAGACUCUUUGGUUAGCAUCCUUUUUAUGAGUUGAACUAAAGUAUUCACAGUUCAACAUUUUGUUCCUCAGCUUAAAUCAUAUACUCUGUAUAAACAGCUUUAGAAAUGUAGAAUCUUCUUUUGAAAUCCAUGGUCACAAAUAGGAAGACUGCUUCAUUUUAAUUUGAAUAAGCAAAGGAAUGUUAAGGCCCAGGUUCUAAAAUGUUAACUCUUCUUAAUUCUUUGGCUUAAUAAAGCAUUGGCUAGUUUUAUUUUUUUAAUUAUUGAAUAGUUAUCAAUGGGUUGGUCGUGGAGAAAAAGCACUGUUACAUAAAAAGUCAUGUGAUUAUAAAAACUAAUAAAAACUCUUAAAAGCAGUUUAAAGAUGGUUUAUUUUGAAAGGAAAAGAAAUUACAAAGUUGUUUGGAAAUCACUAGAAGUUUCAUGAAUCAGUUUCUGAAAUAUAUUUAUUAAAGAUUAUUUGGAGAUAGCAAGAAGAGAGCUUUUUUAACAUUCACCGGAAAGAAAACCAGAGCUCUUAAGCUCUUACUUUCAGUAUUAAAAUAUGGCUAUAAAGGAAAAAAAAAUAGUUGCCAUAAAGGCAGAUAACAGGAUAAAGAGUCAUAGAACAGAAAUGUGACUAAAGGAAAUUAGGUUGAAAAAACAAAUGCAAUUUAUUUAGAAUCUACUAAUUUGUUUUCAUCUAUAUGGGGUAGAAGUUACCUCUGAACAAAAGAGGACUAACAUCUAUUAAGACACAAGAGGUAGAAAAGACUUUCUAAAGAUGUUUAAUAUAUUUGCACCUAUUUAUAAUUUUAAGCAUAUACAGUAAAAUUGUACUCAGAUUAUCUAAUGGCAGUUUUUAUUUGUACCUAUAAGUAAUUACCUUUUAAAAUACAUAUACAACUCUCUUUUUAAUUAGAGGUCAAUUGAAUGCAUUCUGAGAAGUCAGUCAUUUUUAAAUGUAUUUCUACUUGAAAUACUAGGUUUCCAGGAGAGUAUACCUAUACUUAAAACUUUUUUUAAAAUUCUGAAUGCUAGCAACUUAAAUAUAAAAAGUAUGCCUUCAUUAUCACAUGACCAAGCAAGAUAGCCAAGUUUGGUGUUUAAAGACCUAACCAAGUAGAGGAACAUGUGCUUUACUAUGGAUUGUUUUUCUGUUCCAAGAAUUUACCUGAAAUCAUUUUAUAUGACUUCCUGUGUAUGAAAAUUAUACCACUUCUACAUAUAUUUACUCAAAGGCAAUUUGAUAAAGUGUGACAAAUAUUUUUUACCAAGCUGGCCCAACUCAUUAUGUCUGCAUUCACGUUCAUGUGGAGAAGCUCUGCUAUAUAAGAGGCAGAAUAACAAGCAAAUAAGCAAGCUGGUCAUAGUGUGAUAGCACUUUUUAUAAUACCUUAAUGAAAAGAAACAGAAUAUAUUCAUAUGCCCAGGAAAAAAGUCAGGGAGGGUAUGCAUCAGAAAAUGUUUAAAAUUUUUUACAAAGGUUCUCUAUGGGUGAUGGAGUUACAGUGUUUUUCGGUUUGUCUGCAUUUUCUAAGUUUUUCAGUUGAUAAAUGACUUUGCAAUAAGAAAAAAAUUACAUUUAAUGGAAAAAUACAGCAGAUUUGGGGAUGUUUGUGCCAGUUGGGAUUCUUGGUUGAAGACAAAAGAAACUCCCUGAUCGAUGCAGCAGAAAAUUUCUCAUCAGGCUACUACAGAACCAAAGAACAAAUCCCAGAAAAGAGCAGGGAACGGGAGGCUGCCCAAUCUAAAGUGGCCAAGAUGGUGCUGCAGGCACAGCCUGCGAGGACCCCACAACUCGAGGGCCAUGUCUAAGCUGUGGACUCUGCACCACCCCCUUGCCACAAAUGAUCUCAGGCACUUCCAUUUUCGCAUCACUCCCUCAAGGUUCAAAUGCUCUUGGCAGAAACAUUUGCAGAUGCCCCAGCUGUCAGGAAAAAAGAUUAUCUGCCCCCUUUAGCGGCUCCAGUGAGAUGUGUGACCCUGCCUCCUAUCUAUUUUAGGAUCUGCCCCCUAAAAGUAUUCUGAUGCUAGGUCACCAAAAGCAAAAUCCACUGAAGUGUUCUGAUUAAACAGUAAUGUGAAGGUUUCCUAAUCAUCCAAAUUAUCCGUCUUAGAUCCUCUCUGGCUCCCUACUACUUACCAGGAAGGGACUUGUGGUCUGAACGUUCGUGUUCCUACCCUCAAAAUUCACAUACUGAAAUCCUAAUCCCCAAGGUGAUGCUAUUAAGAGGUGACUAGGUCAUGAGGGUGGAGCUCUCAGGAUUGAGAUUAGUGCCCUUAUUAAGUGUUCCCAGCGCUUCCACCAUGUGAGGACAUAGCAAGAAGUCUGCAGCCAGAAAGGGGCCUUCACUGACCAUGCUGGCACCUGAUCUCAGACUUCCAGUCUCCAGAACUGAAAAAUGAAUAAUUUUUUAAAUUUGUAAACCAUCCAAUCUGGUAUUUUGUUAUAGUAGCCCAAAAAAACUGUUAAGGCUGCAUCACCUACUUUAGGAUCAACCUAAGAUAGAGCUAGUGUCUUCUUCCUUUUACAUGCUUCCUUUUCUAAGUUCUGGCCAAAAGAAAUAAUUUAUUUUUGUUGGUAUCAAUGAAUACUUAAAGCAGAGCAGUCAUAAGGGAUACACUAAAGAUAGGGAUAAUCUACAUGUUAUAUUUCAUGAAUAAAUGCACAUUUCUCUGAAUAUGAAGUAAUAGGAGAUCUUUAUAUAUUUAAGUAUUGUUGCUGAUGGGUUUCUGUCUGCUACUCUGAGCACAUGUUCAGACUCCAAGUGCAGAACUAAGCUGAAGGGUAUGAGAUUUUUUGUAAAAAUUUAUUGGGAGUAGGCAAUCGGUCAGAGGCUAAGUAAGGGUUCAUUAAAGGAUGCAGUCACUUUAAAGACAAGUUUGAAGAAAAAAUGCUGACAGCGAAAGAAAUGCAAAAACCACAGACACGGCAAAGAGGCCCAUGUUCCAGGGAACAAAGAAGGUCAUAAAGGACCUGCUUAUAGAGAACAUGUUAAUCCUGGGAUACUGUUCUCUUUCCUCUUGCUCCCCAUCAUUUCAGAUCACAGCUUAGACUGCUUUUCAGCUAGAAAAAGCAAAUGCUAUCCUUGCAAGGACUCUGAACAAUGUUACAGGAAUUCAACUGUUUUCUUGCUUAAAAACUAUUAAAAUAUGGUUUAACUGUUAACAUGAACAGAAGUUCCCAUAAUGGCAAUAACUUCUCUCCAGAGAUGCAGGGCUAAAUAUCUGUUCAUUGAUACACAAAAUGCAAUUCACGACCCAACUGAUUUAUUUAUUAAAUUUUAACUUUUACUCAUAAGAUUUAAUGCAAAUUGUGGCAGACUGCUAAUUGUUCAACAAAAAUUUAUGUCUUCUUCCGGGACGCAAAGCUUGCCUAUGCUUCCCCGUGGCCCUUCCUGGUUAUAUUGGGCCAUGUGACUGAACUCUAGUCAGUGGAGUGUGAGAAGUGAUGUUUACCACUUUGAGGCCUGAAAUCAUUGCAUGCUGAGAUGGAGUUGACAGAGUGACCUUCAAAGCCAUGUUUUGUCCAUGAGGGUGGAACCUCCCUCAGCCUGGGUCUCCGAGGGGGGCCAUUCUACCAAACCGAUUUACUUGCUCCUCGAGAUGACCUGUGACCAAGAUAGAAACUUUUUCUCUGCUGUACCAUUACAUGUUUGAGUCUGUUUAUACUGUGACCUAUGCUAACUAAUACACAUUAAGGGUUUUUUUUUUCAGUCUUAGUUUUCCAUUCCUUUAUGAUUUUGUAGAUGACUUGUAUAUUUUGAAUAUUUAUUAUUGUAUUUGCAAUAUAUGUUUGAAUUACAGGUUCUUAGGAAUACCGUAAAACAGAGAUAAAAGGAUUAUAUUAAGUAAGUACUUAAUGAAGAAGAUUAUUGUAAGAGAGUCUAUAUAACUGACACACAAAUAUAUCUUUCCCCCAGUUUAGUGCUUGGCUCAUAGUAAGUGUAAAAUAAAUAUCUGUUGUCUUGUUAAUAAAUGAGCCUCCCUCCUGAGCUUCAGACUGACAUUUCAGUCGCUCAUGGGACAUUUCCAAACAGCUCUCCUACAAGACUAUCCACAGAACAUUUCCCAAACUAAAAUCUCACUUCUUAGCCUUGAAUCAGCUCCAGUCUCCAUCAUGUCUAAAUUGACUCUGUGCCCGUUGUUCCCAGGCUUCUGGCUUUUUUUCACCAAUGUUUCCCAAAAGAGUGUUUUAAGGACCAACAUAGGAUUGCCAACUUUUAAUUUUGCCAGAUAAAAACUUUAUGGCUAAUACACACAUACGUGUUUGUGUGUGUGUGUAUCACAUUUUUCAUAUCCAUUCAUCUUUUCCAUGUUUUUGUUACUGUAAAUAAUGCUGCAAUGAACAAUGUAGAGAGUCUACAUAAAACUAAAUUUAUUUAAUGUAAAGGACUUUCCUAUAUCCUGAAGUUGAGUCUUCCCUACAUUAUUAAUUUUACAUUGUCCAAGAUUUCUACUCAAGGAAUUGGAAACCUCUAGACCAGCAGUGGCUCUGAGGUCCUGAUAUCAGAUGAAUGUGUCUGAGCUCUAGUCGUAGUGCUUCUCUUAUCAACAACAGCCUCUGGUUCCCAGUGGCCUACACUCCCAAUCUGGUACUUAAACUCCCAAAAAAGGUGACUCCCUACUACCUUCCCAUUGAUAUCUCUCAUUUCCAGACAAAUCAGACCUUCUGCUAUUCCCAUCAUUUCUAUCUUUGACUAUAUGAUUCUCUCAGCUUAUAUACCCUUUCCUUUUUUCCCCACCAGUCAAAAUCCUACGCAGAGUUUAACACCAACUUUGAUACCACUGCCUUCAUGAAACCUUUUAUGAUGCACCCAAACAAGUUUUGAAUUCAUCAAAAUGCAAGAAGGAAUGAGAUGAUAAAGUUCAAAGACCUAAAACCACAGAACUCCCAGAAGAAAAUGGUAAACUCAUUGACAUUGAUCUUGGCAAUGGUAUUUUGGAUUUCACACCAAAAGCAAAGGCAACAAAAGCAAAAAUAAACAGGUGGGACUACACAAAACUAGAAAGCUGCGUCUGCACAGCAAAGGAAACCAUCAACAAAAUGGAAAGGCAACCUACAGAACAGGAGAAAAUAUUUGACAAUCAUGUAUCUGGUAAGGGGAUAAUAUAAAAAAUAGAAAGA